This 717-nucleotide long non-coding RNA is filed under the name Equus asinus (donkey). Its description in RNAcentral is "lncRNA (ENSEASG00005026090.1)". The record is from RNAcentral. Lineage: Eukaryota; Metazoa; Chordata; Mammalia; Perissodactyla; Equidae.
CUCCUCAUUUAUGUCACAGUUGGCACCUCUCUCAUGGAGUCGAGGACCCCAUGACUUGGCAGUGCUGAAACACAGGCUAAAGGCUUUCACCACCUGCAGCUAGAGCCAUGGUUGGAGCAGGAGGAGUCAGCAACUGAUGCUGGAUCCAAAGACCAACAUCCCACCCUCAGGUUCAAGCAAGCCCUUUGAGUUGAGGAGGCUGGGAAGAAAAUCCUCCCAGGGCUGAGCUUCACUCCAGGGACUCUCUGAAGGUUAGGUGUUGAGAAGGCUAAUUAGACCUCUCUGAUCAGAAGCUGAGGCAGAGCACUCAUGGGGAACGCUCGGGCCUCAGGUCUCCUAGGCAUACUUCAUAUCUGUCAGGUACGGGGUGCUAGUCAGCCUCAGAUGGAUUCACUGGAAUUCUACCCUGCAACCUCAAGAAUGCAAAGACUUGGCACUCAUUCUCAGCAUUCUCAAGACAUGCUUAAUCAUGGGUGAUAGGUAAGCUCCCAUUCCUUCCUCCCUAAGAAGUGAGGAGGCAGAAUUGGCCCUUCUCUGAGGCCAGGAUGGGGAUGGCUGUUUUGUUCUUUGAGUGAUGGAGAUCUGUGCCCUGCUUCCAUGCAGCUGCUUCAGAAGUGACACAAGCUCUGGUGGGAUGGAAGAGAGAAGGAGAGAGAGAGAGAGAAGGGGAAGGAGAAGAAAGAAGAAAGAGAAGAAUGAAGAGAACAGUGAUGACCA